This is a long non-coding RNA of Melanotaenia boesemani (Boeseman's rainbowfish), 116 nucleotides long. RefSeq lists it as uncharacterized. The record is from RefSeq and is a predicted model, not a curated record. Lineage: Eukaryota; Metazoa; Chordata; Actinopteri; Atheriniformes; Melanotaeniidae. The transcript has 3 exons.
ACAUAAUAAAGGAUAGACGCCGCAUUAGCUAUUGGAGCGCGAGAAAUGCGGCCGCCAUAUUGGACCGGUAGCUAAUCAGAUAGUACGCAGCCAAACAACAAGAAGCCAGAGUUUGU